GCAAGCGUUAAUCGGAAUUACUGGGCGUAAAGGGUGCGUAGGCGGUUUGUUAAGUCUGUCGUGAAAUCCCCGGGCUCAACCUGGGAAUGGCGAUGGAUACUGGCAAGCUAGAGUGUGUCAGAGGAUGGUGGAAUUUCCGGUGUAGCGGUGAAAUGCGUAGAGAUCGGAAGGAACAUCAGUGGCGAAGGCGGCCAUCUGGGACAACACUGACGCUGAAGCACGAAAGCGUGGGGAGCAAACAGGAUUAGAUACCCUGGUAGUCCACGCCCUAAACGAUGCGAACUGGAUGUUGGUCUCAACUCGGAGAUCAGUGUCGAAGCUAACGCGUUAAGUUCGCCGCCUGGGGAGUACGGUCGCAAGACUGAAACUCAAAGGAAUUGACGGGGGCCCGCACAAGCGGUGGAGUAUGUGGUUUAAUUCGAUGCAACGCGAAGAACCUUACCUGGCCUUGACAUGUCUGGAAUCCUGCAGAGAUGCGGGAGUGCCUUCGGGAAUCAGAACACAGGUGCUGCAUGGCUGUCGUCAGCUCGUGUCGUGAGAUGUUGGGUUAAGUCCCGCAACGAGCGCAACCCUUGUCCUUAGUUGCCAGCACGUAAUGGUGGGAACUCUAAGGAGACUGCCGGUGACAAACCGGAGGAAGGUGGGGAUGACGUCAAGUCCUCAUGGCCCUUACGGCCAGGGCUACACACGUACUACAAUGGUCGGUACAGAGGGUUGCAAUACCGCGAGGUGGAGCCAAUCCCAGAAAGCCGAUCCCAGUCCGGAUCGGAGUCUGCAACUCGACUCCGUGAAGUCGGAAUCGCUAGUAAUCGCGGAUCAGCUAUGCCGCGGUGAAUACGUUCCCGGGCCUUGUACACACCGCCCGUCACACCAUGGGAGUGAGUUGCUCCAGAAGCCGUUAGUCUAACCGCAAGGGGGACGACGACCACGGAGUGGUUCAUGACUGGGGUGAAGUCGUAACAAGGUA
This 967-nucleotide ribosomal RNA is filed under the name uncultured bacterium. Its description in RNAcentral is "bacterial SSU rRNA". It matches the Rfam family "Bacterial small subunit ribosomal RNA", at positions 534 to 1498 of the family's 1533-position model. The record is from RNAcentral.